GGGCACAUGGUGUAGUUGGUUAUCACGCCCGCUUAGCAUUCCUGGAUCAACUCGAAUCCUGCGAUAUGCACUACUGCGGGCGGUGCCCGGUUCAAUUCCGGGUGUGUCCA
Molecule: non-coding RNA, 110 nt
Organism: Termitomyces sp. T32_za158
Lineage: Eukaryota; Fungi; Basidiomycota; Agaricomycetes; Agaricales; Lyophyllaceae
Source: the annotation of a GenBank genome assembly